UGCUGAAGCUUACCUCGUUGGUCUGUUUGAAGAUACGAAUCUCUGCGCCAUUCAUGCUAAGCGUGUCACCAUAAUGCCGAAAGAUAUCCAACUUGCUAGAAGAAUCCGCGGUGAAAGAGCUUAACCAGCAUCCAUCUAAAGAUUAGACUAUGCAUCAAUAUAAUUUUUUUUCUUCUUUUUUUUACAUUCGAAUUGCAAUCGAUGUGUAAAUUGUGCUUUGCAAUCUUACUUUUACUUUCGAGUCAAACUACUUUGUUUGUCGAUGAUCAUUAGUGAAAUGAAAUUCAAUUUGCG
Molecule: unclassified non-coding RNA, 294 nt
Filed under: Hevea brasiliensis (rubber tree)
Lineage: Eukaryota; Viridiplantae; Streptophyta; Magnoliopsida; Malpighiales; Euphorbiaceae
Source: RNAcentral